Molecule: ribosomal RNA, 80 nt
Filed under: Chloroflexi bacterium CG_4_9_14_3_um_filter_45_9
Lineage: Bacteria; Bacillati; Chloroflexota
Description: partial 16S ribosomal RNA
Source: RNAcentral
UGAAGUCAACGGGCUAACCUGCCUUGGCAGGAAGCAGUUGCCCAAGGUGAGGCUGGCGACUGUGACGAAGUCGUAACAAG